AUUGAACGCUGGCGGCGUGCCUAACACAUGCAAGUCGAGCGGCAGCGCGGGAGCAAUCCUGGCGGCGAGCGGCGGACGGGUGAGUAAUGCUUGGGAAUCUGCCUGUUAGUGGGGGACAACCCGGGGAAACUCGGGCUAAUACCGCAUACGCACUACGGUGGAAAGCCGGGGACCGCAAGGCCUGGCGCUAACAGAUGAGCCCAAGUCGGAUUAGCUAGUUGGUAGGGUAACGGCCACCAAGGCGACGGUCCGUAACUGGUCUGAGAGGACGACCAGUCACACCGGAACUGAGACACGGUCCGGACUCCUACGGGAGGCAGCAGUGGGGAAUA
This 332-nucleotide ribosomal RNA is filed under the name uncultured bacterium. RNAcentral describes it as "bacterial SSU rRNA". It matches the Rfam family "Bacterial small subunit ribosomal RNA", at positions 29 to 363 of the family's 1533-position model. The record is from RNAcentral.